RNAcentral lists this ribosomal RNA (466 nucleotides) under uncultured bacterium. Its description in RNAcentral is "partial 16S ribosomal RNA". It matches the Rfam family "Bacterial small subunit ribosomal RNA", at positions 28 to 507 of the family's 1533-position model. The record is from RNAcentral.
GAUGAACGCUGGCGGCGUGCUUAACACAUGCAAGUCGAACGAUGAAGCCCAGCUUGCUGGGUGGGUUAGUGGCGAACGGGUGAGUAACACGUGAGUAACCUGCCCUUAACUCUGGGAUAAGCCUUGGAAACUGGGUCUAAUACCGGAUAGGAGCGUCCACCGCAUGGUGGGUGUUGGAAAGAUUUAUCGGUUUUGGAUGGACUCGCGGCCUAUCAGCUUGUUGGUGAGGUAAUGGCUCACCAAGGCGACGACGGGUAGCCGGCCUGAGAGGGUGACCGGCCACACUGGGACUGAGACACGGCCCAGACUCCUACGGGAGGCAGCAGUGGGGAAUAUUGCACAAUGGGCGCAAGCCUGAUGCAGCGACGCCGCGUGAGGGAUGACGGCCUUCGGGUUGUAAACCUCUUUCAGUAGGGAAGAAGCGAAAGUGACGGUACCUGCAGAAGAAGCACCGGCUAACUACGUG